RNAcentral lists this unclassified non-coding RNA (279 nucleotides) under plant metagenome. RNAcentral describes it as "partial contains small subunit ribosomal RNA, internal transcribed spacer 1, and 5.8S ribosomal RNA". The record is from RNAcentral.
UUUCCGUAGGUGAACCUGCGGAAGGAUCAUUAUUGUAUACCCGAGGUCCGAGCGCUUUCUCUGACCCGAUACGUCGUGCACGCCCGAGUGCCCUCACACACCUCCAUCUCACCCCUACUUGCACCACCGCGUCGGUCCCCCUUAGACUUGUUCGGAGGGGGGCUGACGUGUUCACACUAACUAUAUAUGCAGUGUAGAAUGUAUCUUUGGUUAUGGCGAUCACGGAACCAAUACACCUUCCAACAACCGACCUCUUGGCUCCCGCAUCGACGAAGAACC